UGGCAGUGCCGCUAGCUCAGUCUUUUCUCAAGGCAGAGUACCCCUAAUGCCACAGCUCGCAACAUAAAUAUCGAUAACUUCACGGUCUCACAUUACUAAUCGGUUAUCACUAAUGACAAAAAAAACGUAAUCAAAGCAAAAAUCUACAAAUAUUGACGGGAAAAUGGAUUACAUUUGGUGGCUAUCGGUGACCUAGCCAAGCGCUCCCACCCAACCAUGGGUGCCCUCGAGGCGCUGCAGGGCACCACCCAUUCUCUGUCGGCAGGAGCCCCCUCCUCGCGACUACGACGGUUCCAUCUCCCCCACUGGGAAAGCUUACUCACACAUUGUGGGUAUUACAAAGGUUUAAUAAAUAUCCCUUUAAGACCUAAACCUGGCCGCCGUCUCGGAUAUUUACGCGGUCAAAGCAGAGGAUUUGUUUUGGCUGGAAAAGCGUACAGGCGCCGCGGAAACUAUGCUCUACCAGUCAUGUAUUGGUAGAGCUCGCAUGGAAACGCGGCCCUCAAAGGAACAUGCGCGAUGCGCGUGUGUAUGGUCACCUAAUUCUGAGGAGCUCAAGGGGAAAAGAAGGGACAGGCCAAAAAGGCAAACAACGAGGACAAAUAAGGCUCUCG
Molecule: non-coding RNA, 614 nt
Organism: Drosophila suzukii
Lineage: Eukaryota; Metazoa; Arthropoda; Insecta; Diptera; Drosophilidae
Source: RefSeq, a predicted model, not a curated record